This 443-nucleotide ribosomal RNA is filed under the name uncultured bacterium. RNAcentral's name for it is "partial 16S ribosomal RNA". It matches the Rfam family "Bacterial small subunit ribosomal RNA", at positions 338 to 795 of the family's 1533-position model. The record is from RNAcentral.
CCUACGGGUGGCAGCAGUGGGGAAUAUUGGGCAAUGGGCGCAAGCCUGACCCAGCCACGCCGCGUGAAGGAAGAAGGCUUUCGGGUUGUAAACUUCUUUUCUCAGGGACGAAGACAGUGACGGUACCUGAGGAAUAAGCCAAGGCUACCUACGUGCCAGCAGCCGCGGGACUACGUAGGUGGAAAGCGUUAUACGGAUUUAUUGGGAGUAAAGGGCGUGGAGGCGGGGGCGCAAGUCGGAUGUGAAAACUCAGGGCUCAACCUGGGGACUGCAUUUGAAAAUGGGUUGCUUGAGUGCUGGAGAGGCGAGCGGAAUUCCAGGUGUAGCGGUGAAAGGCGUAGAGAUACGGAGGAACACCAGUGGCGAAGGUGGAUUGCUGGACAGUAACUGACGCUGAGGUGCGAAAGCGUGGGGAGCAAACAGGAUUAGAUACCCCGGUAGUC